This 253-nucleotide ribosomal RNA is filed under the name uncultured bacterium. RNAcentral's name for it is "partial 16S ribosomal RNA". It matches the Rfam family "Bacterial small subunit ribosomal RNA", at positions 524 to 776 of the family's 1533-position model. The record is from RNAcentral.
GACGGGGGAUGCAAGCGAUAUCCGGCAUCACUGGGCGUAAAGCGUCUGUAGGUGGUGAUGCAAGUCACUGGUGCAAAACUCUGGCUCAACCGGAGGAAAGCCAGUGAAACUGCAUGACUAGAGUGUGGGAGAGGUAGAAGGAAUUCCCUGAGUAGCGGUGAAAUGCGUAGAUACAGAGAAGAACACCGGAGGCGAAAGCGUUCUACUGGAACACAACUGACACUGAGAGACGAAAGCUAGGGGAGCGAAAGGG